This is a small nucleolar RNA of Magnolia sinica, 107 nucleotides long. The record is from RefSeq and is a predicted model, not a curated record. Lineage: Eukaryota; Viridiplantae; Streptophyta; Magnoliopsida; Magnoliales; Magnoliaceae.
GAGCCAUGUUGUGGGCAUGAACUGACAAGAUCUUUGAACUGCUCCCACCAUUGGAAGAAUGUCUCAUCUUCCUUUUGGGCAAAUUUUAUGAUCGACUUUCUGAUGGU